Molecule: long non-coding RNA, 1024 nt
Filed under: Homo sapiens (human)
Lineage: Eukaryota; Metazoa; Chordata; Mammalia; Primates; Hominidae
Description: TOLLIP divergent transcript (TOLLIP-DT)
Source: RNAcentral
GCGCGCUCCAGGGUAGGGCAGGCGCAGCCUCUCGCCCGGCGCCUGCGCACCUGCUCUCUCCUCGAGCCCUGCAGCCCGGCGAAAUGGCUCCCGGCGGGGCCGUUUGCGCAUGCCCAGUCAUGACGGUUGUCGGCGCGGGCCCUAGCGUGGCGGCGCUGCAGUCUGGGCAGUGGGUUGGUUCCUCCUCGGUCCUCUGUCGAGUGGCGACAGGGCCUAGCCACCUGGCGGGGGUGACCUUCGGACGUGCGACCCGCUCGGAGAAGGGAGGGAACUGUGGCCCGCAACAAAGCAGUGACAGGCCCGACAUCCCCUGCAGGGCGAUCUUUCCCUCAGCUGCCUGCCGGAGGAAGGGCCUUUCUGUUUCACAGGGCUAAAGAUGGGGCGCGGUUCCUCCACGGGGCGGCUGCCGGGUGAACGGAACGGGGAUGGAGGCGCUGCCAGAAGAGCCCGAGCUCGAGCCCGCCCUGCCCUCGGCCUCCCCGCCGCGCCGCUCCGCAGGAGCCCCGCUCCUCUCCUGCUCGCUCCGGAGAACCCCAGUCCGGCCUGACCUCGGCCCUCGCGGUCAGGCGCUCCAACCAGAGCGACUCCAGCUCGAACAGCGCUGGGUAAACUGAGGCUGAACCCCGCUGGCUGCAUCCCCAGGAGUCGGGCGUUUACGGUCACGGGAACAGGUUAAUAAACUUUUACGCAGCAGACCCGGAACUUAGGUCCCGAUGUCCGGGUAUCUUAAGAACAAGAAGCAUUCUUAGUUGAAGUUUCGCUUUAAAGAUAAUGAUACAGAUGCUUGCGGAGGACAGGCGUUAUGCAAAGAUUGGCAAUCCUUUGACGAGCCCAGGUAGUACAGCACGUCUCCCCCGUGAUGUUUUUUGGCUUUUAUCUUACAUAUAAACAAGCGUACCCAGGUGGACGCCUUCCUCCUCGUGCUUUUGGGAACACCCUGCUCUAUGGAGUAGCCAUUCUUUUAUUCCUUCACUGCCUUAAUAAACUUGCUUUCACUUUAAAAAAAAAAAAAAAAAAAAAAAAA